Molecule: small RNA, 739 nt
Filed under: Pan troglodytes (chimpanzee)
Lineage: Eukaryota; Metazoa; Chordata; Mammalia; Primates; Hominidae
Description: processed transcript
Source: RNAcentral
GCUGGUGUUGCAGCGCUGGCGACAGUCGGGGUUGCGAGCGGCCCGGGGCCGGGGCGGCCAGGGCCGCUGCAGGACGAGACCCUGGGUGUGGCGUCCGUGCCCUCGCAGUGGAGGGCCGUCCAGGGCAUCCGCGGGGAGACGAAAAGUUGCCAGACGGCCAGCAUUGCCACUGCCAACGCAUCUGCCCAGGCCAGGAAUCAUGUGGACGCCCAGGUGCAGACGGAGGCCCCCGUGCCUGUCAGCGUGCAGCCCCCGUCCCAGUACGACAUACCCCAGCUCGCAGCCUUUCUUCGGAGAGUGGAGGCCAUGGUCAUCCGAGAGCUGAACAAGAAUUGGCAGAGCCACGCGUUUGAUGGCUUCGAGGUGAACUGGACCGAGCAGCAGCAGAUGGCUGGACCAUGGGGACUGGAGCACGCUUAAGUCCUUUGUGUGUGCCUGGAACCUGGACCGGCGAGACCUGCAUCCCCAGCAGCCGUCGGCCGUGGUGGAGGUCCCCAGCGCUGUCCUGUGUCUGGCCUUCCACCCCAUGCAGCCCUCCCACGUCGCAGGAGGGCUGUACAGUGGUGAGGUGUUGGUGUGGGACCUGAGCCGUCUUGAGGACCCGCUGCUGUGGCGCACAGGCCUGACGGAUGACACCCACACAGACCCUGUGUCCCAGGUGGUGUGGCUGCCCGAGCCUGGGCACAGCCACCGCUUCCAGGUGCUGAGUGUGGCCACCGACGGGAAGGUGCUACUCUGG